CAGCCGCCACGGUAAUGCGAAGGGUGCAAGCGUUAAUCGGAAUUACUGGGCGUAAAGCGUGCGUAGGCGGUUUGUUAAGUCUGCUGUGAAAUCCCCGGGCUCAACCUGGGAAUGGCAGUGGAUACUGGCUCGCUAGAGUGUGUCAGAGGAUGGUGGAAUUCCCGGUGUAGCGGUGAAAUGCGUAGAGAUCGGGAGGAACAUCAGUGGCGAAGGCGGCCAUCUGGGACAACACUGACGCUCAUGCACGAAAGCGUGGGGAGCGAACAGGAUUAGAUACCCCCGUAGUCCCUGUCUCUUAUAC
This 301-nucleotide ribosomal RNA is filed under the name uncultured bacterium. RNAcentral's name for it is "partial 16S ribosomal RNA". It matches the Rfam family "Bacterial small subunit ribosomal RNA", at positions 509 to 807 of the family's 1533-position model. The record is from RNAcentral.